This 1231-nucleotide long non-coding RNA is filed under the name Equus caballus (horse). Its description in RNAcentral is "lncRNA (ENSECAG00000050337.1)". Lineage: Eukaryota; Metazoa; Chordata; Mammalia; Perissodactyla; Equidae. The record is from RNAcentral.
GAACAAUGACAAUUUGAGUAUUUGUAAGAAAUUAUGUUCAAUAUUUGUGGAAAUUUAGUCGGCAUCAAAUUCUUAAGAAAUUCUGAAACUGUUAGGGGAAAAACUCUCUAAAAAAUUUAUUUCAUUGAACAAACGUUAUUGAGGUUCUACUGUAUACGUCUAACUUAGUUUUGAGUACACAUCAACGAGUAAGACUGCUUCUCUGUCUAAGAUGGAAGUCAGAUAUGUCAACACUUCAGGACAAUAAAAUAUUUCACACUCUGUGGAAAAAACAGAUUAUGCCAGUGAGGAGAGACGCAGAGGCGGUGGAGGAGGACGUCAGGAGGAGCUCCGCAAGAACAGGCCUGAGGAAGUGCCGCUCCGUUAACUAAGGAGGCCUCAGGCACUGUUAGUUGGUUUACUAUGCAUAGAGUUUCUUCUGCAUGAAAACAUACUAAUUAUUUGGAGACUUCACACACAAUGAUUGCUGUCCGUGACCACUCCUGGGUCUCUAGAACGUUCUGUGCCUAAUGAAGGUGAAACCAGCCCUCCUUCAAGGUUUCUUACGUGAUGUUCAGACCUCUCAGACUUGUUUGCUUCACUGACUUUAUUCCUAUUAACACCGCAUCCCAUUAAAGCAGAAAACACAGCAAUUAGAUCCAGAUAAAGAGGCCAAGAGACUGGUUGUUCAUGCCUCCCUUUGUUUCUACCAUUCAGUUUACCUAAUUUACCAAAGGAACAGGGGUAACCACAGUGAGCCUUCUGGGAAGAGAAUAACUUUCCGAUUGGACAUCAGUGUUCUGCUCUCCUGACAGCCUCACCCCCCAGGCCCCUGACUUGUGCCUAUGCACCUUUGGCCUUGAGUGGCUCUCACUGACCACCUGACUUCUCUUGCUCCUGUCAAGACCCUGAACCCCCUUAGUGGAAGCAAAGAGCAUUCAGUGACAGCUGCAGAAAUACCCACCGAAAAUGGAACCCAACUCACUAAGCUGUUAGAAGACUUAGUACAAACCGAAGAAUUAGCUGUUCUCAAAGUCAAAGCUCACACUAGAAGCCAGGCCUCCUGAAGCCAAGGAAACCCCUGGAUGGACAAAUGUGCUAAGAGAGCCACUUCCCAAGGAAACUCUUCCUCUCCCACCCACACACUUCGCCUUGCCCGACCUUCUUUAGAGACAGAAACUCUACUUACUGACCCUGAGGCACAGUGACCGUUAACACCUGAGGCUGAAAACGCUCACCAGAAACAAGCUGG